UACGUAGGUGGCGAGCGUUGUCCGGAUUUACUGGGAGUAAAGCGCGCGCAGGCGGCAGUCUAAGUCCUCUGUGAAAUCACCCGGCUCAACUGGGUGGCUGCGGAGGAGACUGGGCAGCUUGAGGUGCCUAGAGGCCGGUGGAACUCCCGGUGUAGUGGUGAAAUGCGUAGAGAUCGGGAAGAACACCAGUGGCGAAGGCGGCCGGCUGGGGGCGCCCUGACGCUGAGGCGCGAGAGCGUGGGGAGCAAACCGG
RNAcentral lists this ribosomal RNA (253 nucleotides) under uncultured bacterium. RNAcentral describes it as "partial 16S ribosomal RNA". It matches the Rfam family "Bacterial small subunit ribosomal RNA", at positions 524 to 776 of the family's 1533-position model. The record is from RNAcentral.